GAUGAACGCUGGCGGCGUGCCUAAUACAUGCAAGUCGAGCGAACGGACGAGAAGCUUGCUUCUCUGAUGUUAGCGGCGGACGGGUGAGUAACACGUGGAUAACCUACCUAUAAGACUGGGAUAACUUCGGGAAACCGGAGCUAAUACCGGAUAAUAUUUUGAACCGCAUGGUUCAAAAGUGAAAGACGGUCUUGCUGUCACUUAUAGAUGGAUCCGCGCUGCAUUAGCUAGUUGGUAAGGUAACGGCUUACCAAGGCAACGAUGCAUAGCCGACCUGAGAGGGGGACCGGCCACCCUGAACCUGAAACCCGUUCCAGCCUCCUCCGGGAGGCAGCAGUGGGGAACCUUCCGCAAUGGGCGAAAGCCUGCCGGAGCAACGCGGCGUGAGUGAUGAAGGUCUUCGGUUCGUAAAACCCUGUUAUUGGGAAGAACAUAUGUGUAAGUAACUGUGCACAUCUUGACGGUACCUAAUCAGAAAGCCACGGCUAACUACGUG
RNAcentral lists this ribosomal RNA (496 nucleotides) under uncultured bacterium. Its description in RNAcentral is "partial 16S ribosomal RNA". It matches the Rfam family "Bacterial small subunit ribosomal RNA", at positions 28 to 507 of the family's 1533-position model. The record is from RNAcentral.